RNAcentral lists this ribosomal RNA (235 nucleotides) under uncultured bacterium. Its description in RNAcentral is "partial 16S ribosomal RNA". It matches the Rfam family "Bacterial small subunit ribosomal RNA", at positions 99 to 334 of the family's 1533-position model. The record is from RNAcentral.
CGGACGGCUGAGUAACACGUAGGUGACCUGCCCUUGAGUGGGGAAUAACGGUCCGAAAGGAUCGCUAAUACCGCAUGUGACCGUUCCGUUUUGGCGGGAUGAGGAAAGCCGAAAGGCGCUCGAGGAGGGGCCUGCGUCCGAUUAGCUAGUUGGUGGGGUAAAGGCCUACCAAGGCGACGAUCGGUAGCUGGUCUAAGAGGAUGAUCAGCCAGACUGGGACUGUGACACGGCCCAG